RNAcentral lists this ribosomal RNA (547 nucleotides) under uncultured eukaryote. RNAcentral describes it as "SSU rRNA". It matches the Rfam family "Eukaryotic small subunit ribosomal RNA", at positions 21 to 570 of the family's 1831-position model. The record is from RNAcentral.
UGUAGUCAUAUGCUUGUCUCAAAGAUUAAGCCAUGCAUGUCUAAGUAUAAGCAAUUAUACCGCGAAACUGCGAAUGGCUCAUUAAAUCAGUUAUCGUUUAUUUGAUAGUACCUUACUACAUGGAUAACCGUGGUAAUUCUAGAGCUAAUACAUGCUAAAAAUCCCGACUUCGGAAGGGAUGUAUUUAUUAGAUUAAAAACCAAUGCCCUUCGGGGCUCUCUGGUGAUUCAUAAUAACUUCUCGAAUCGCACGGCCUUGCGCCGGCGAUGGUUCAUUCAAAUUUCUGCCCUAUCAACUUUCGACGGCUGGGUCUUGGCCAGCCAUGGUGACAACGGGUAACGGAGGGUUAGGGCUCGACCCCGGAGAAGGAGCCUGAGAAACGGCUACUACAUCCAAGGAAGGCAGCAGGCGCGCAAAUUACCCAAUCCCGACUCGGGGAGGUAGUGACAAUAAAUACUGAUACAGGGCUCUUUUGGGUCUUGUAAUUGGAAUGAGUACAAUUUAAAUCCCUUAACGAGGAACAAUUGGAGGGCAAGUCUGGUAAUCG